RNAcentral lists this ribosomal RNA (204 nucleotides) under uncultured bacterium. RNAcentral describes it as "partial 16S ribosomal RNA". It matches the Rfam family "Bacterial small subunit ribosomal RNA", at positions 524 to 727 of the family's 1533-position model. The record is from RNAcentral.
UACGUAGGGUGCGAGCGUUGUCCGGAAUUAUUGGGCGUAAAGAGCUUGUAGGUGGUUUGUCGCGUCUGCUGUGAAAAUCCGAGGCUCAACCUCGGACUUGCAGUGGGUACGGGCAGACUAGAGUGUGGUAGGGGAGACUGGAAUUCCUGGUGUAGCGGUGGAAUGCGCAGAUAUCAGGAGGAACACCGAUGGCGAAGGCAGGUC